AACGAACGCUGGCGGCAUGCCUAACACAUGCAAGUCGAACGAGACCUUCGGGUCUUGUGGCGCACGGGGGCGUAACGCGUGGGAACCUUCCCAUAUGGUCGGCAUAACUCCCCGAAAGGGGUGCUAACACCGGACAAUGGCUUCUGACCAAAGAUUUAUCGCCUUUGGAUGGGCCCGCGUUGGAUUAGCUUGUUGGGAGGGUAAAAGCAUACCAAGGCGACGAUUCAUAGCUGGGCAGAGAGGAUGAUCAGCCACACUGGGACUGAGACACGGCCCAGACUCCUACGGGAGGCAGCAGUGGGGAAUAGUGGACAGUGGGCGAAAGCCUGAUCCAGCAAUGCCGCGUGAGUGAUGAAGGCCUUAGGGUUGUAAAGCUCUUUUAACCGGGAUGAUAAUGACAGUACCGGGAGAAUAAGCUCCGGCUAACUCCGUG
RNAcentral lists this ribosomal RNA (433 nucleotides) under uncultured bacterium. Its description in RNAcentral is "partial 16S ribosomal RNA". It matches the Rfam family "Bacterial small subunit ribosomal RNA", at positions 29 to 507 of the family's 1533-position model. The record is from RNAcentral.